RNAcentral lists this ribosomal RNA (301 nucleotides) under uncultured bacterium. RNAcentral describes it as "partial 16S ribosomal RNA". It matches the Rfam family "Bacterial small subunit ribosomal RNA", at positions 509 to 807 of the family's 1533-position model. The record is from RNAcentral.
CAGCAGCCGCGGUAAUACGGAGGGGGCUAGCGUUGUUCGGAAUUACUGGGCGUAAAGCGCACGUAGGCGGCUUGGUAAGUUAGAGGUGAAAGCCCGGAGCUCAACUCCGGAAUUGCCUUUAAGACUGCCGAGCUAGUAGGUGAGAGAGGUAAGUGGAAUUCCGAGUGUAGAGGUGAAAUUCGUAGAGAUCGGAAGGAACAUCUGUGGCGAAGGCGGCUCACUGGUCCAUUACUGACGCUGAGGUGCGAAAGCGUGGGGAGCAAACAGGAUUAGAGACCCCGGUAGUCCCUGUCUCUUAUAC